AGUGAACGCUGGCGGUAGGCCUAACACAUGCAAGUCGAACGGCAGCACAGUAAGAGCUUGCUCUUACGGGUGGCGAGUGGCGGACGGGUGAGGAAUACAUCGGAAUCUACUUUUUCGUGGGUGAUAACGUAGGGAAACUUACGCUAAUACCGCAUACGACCUACGGGUGAAAGCAGGGGAUCUUCGGACCUUGCGCGAUUGAAUUAGCCGAUGUCGGAUUAGCUAGUUGGCGGGGUAAAGGCCCACCAAGGCGACGAUCCGUAGCUGGUCUGAGAGGAUGAUCAGCCACACUGGAACUGAGACACGGUCCAGACUCCUACGGGAGGCAGCAGUGGGGAAUAUUGGACAAUGGGCGCAAGCCUGAUCCAGCAAUACCGCGUGGGUGAAGAAGGCCUUCGGGUUGUAAAGCCCUUUUGUUGGGAAAGAAAAGCAGCAGGUGAAUACCCCGCUGUUCUGACGGUACCCAAAGAAUAAGCACCGGCUAACUUCGUG
RNAcentral lists this ribosomal RNA (492 nucleotides) under uncultured bacterium. RNAcentral's name for it is "partial 16S ribosomal RNA". It matches the Rfam family "Bacterial small subunit ribosomal RNA", at positions 29 to 507 of the family's 1533-position model. The record is from RNAcentral.